Molecule: ribosomal RNA, 462 nt
Filed under: Triticum aestivum (bread wheat)
Lineage: Eukaryota; Viridiplantae; Streptophyta; Magnoliopsida; Poales; Poaceae
Description: partial small subunit ribosomal RNA
Source: RNAcentral
AUGCAACACAUCUUCUCCUUCGGGCUGGCAACUGGGAAGCAUGCCAUGGGCUCGGGGGAGCCUCUUGGUUCUCCCAUGCCAGACUUCCCUGGGACCCCGGACGUCGAGGUCCUUGAUGGCCCUGACAAGCCAGCUGCGAAGCCCUUCGACAAGCCAUUUUACCCCGUCCAUGAUAGGAAGAGGAAGAGAGGAGGCCUGAUGGAGGAGGAUAUCAAUGUCUUUUGCAGCAUGACUGAGGCAGUGAAGGAGGUUGCAACAGCCAUCAGGGAGUGCAAGCCCCUCGACGUCCACCCUGACCUGUAUGGCGCUGUCAUGACCCAGGGUGGCUUCAGUGACGAGGCUCUCAUGGCAGCUCUCAGCCACCUGCUUGACAACAAGGCCCAGGGUGUUGGGUUCGUUGCCAUGGCAGACGCUCACAGGGUGCUGUGGAUCAGGAGCUGGUUGGGCAAGCACUACUACUAG